Molecule: ribosomal RNA, 826 nt
Filed under: uncultured eukaryote
Lineage: Eukaryota
Description: SSU rRNA
Rfam family: Eukaryotic small subunit ribosomal RNA
Source: RNAcentral
AUUCCAGCUCCAAUAGCGUAUAUUAAAGUUGUUGCAGUUAAAAAGCUCGUAGUUGAACCUUGGGCAAGACGCAUCAGGUCGGCCGCAAGGCCGGACUUGGUCGUCACGCCUCUGUUGGGGGACUCGUUGCUUCGGCGGCGAGGUAACCUACGUUACUGUGAAGAAAUUAGAGUGUUUAAAGCAGGCGAUCGCUUGAAUACAUCAGCAUGGAAUAACAAGAUAAGACAUUAGUCUUCUUGUUGGUUUGGAGACAAAUGUAAUGAUUAAUAGGGCCAGUUGGGGGCAUUAGUAUUCAGUAGUCAGAGGUGAAAUUCUUGGAUUUACUGAAGACUAACUAGUGCGAAAGCAUUUGCCAAGGAUGUUUUCAUUAAUCAAGAACGAAAGUUAGGGGAUCGAAGACGAUCAGAUACCGUCGUAGUCUUAACUAUAAACGAUGCCGACUAAGGAUCGGCAGAAGUCGUUAGCGACUCUGUCGGCACUUUGUGAGAAAUCAAAGUUUUUGGGUUCUGGGGGGAGUAUGGUCGCAAGGCUGAAACUUAAAGGAAUUGACGGAAGGGCACCACCAGGAGUGGAGCCUGCGGCUUAAUUUGACUCAACACGGGAAAACUCACCAGGUCCGGACAUAGUAAGGAUUGACAGAUUGAGAGCUCUUUCUUGAUUCUGUGGGUGGUGGUGCAUGGCCGUUCUUAGUUGGUGGAGUGAUUUGUCUGGUUAAUUCCGAUAACGAACGAGACCUUAACCUGCUAACUAGUUGCGAGUACGUGAGUAUUCGUGCACUUCUUAGAGGGACUGACUACGCUUAGUAGUCGGAAGUUUGAGGCAAUAA